RNAcentral lists this ribosomal RNA (475 nucleotides) under uncultured bacterium. RNAcentral describes it as "partial 16S ribosomal RNA". It matches the Rfam family "Bacterial small subunit ribosomal RNA", at positions 355 to 822 of the family's 1533-position model. The record is from RNAcentral.
UAGGGAAUCUUCCACAAUGGACGCAAGUCUGAUGGAGCAACGCCGCGUGAGUGAAGAAGGUUUUCGGAUCGUAAAGCUCUGUUGUUGGUGAAGAAGGAUAGAGGCAGUAACUGGUCUUUAUUUGACGGUAAUCAACCAGAAAGUCACGGCUAACUACGUGCCAGCAGCCGCGGUAAUACGUAGGUGGCAAGCGUUGUCCGGAUUUAUUGGGCGUAAAGCGAGCGCAGGCGGAAUGAUAAGUCUGAUGUGAAAGCCCAUGGCUCAACCGUGGAACUGCAUCGGAAACUGUCAUUCUUGAGUGCAGAAGAGGAGAGUGGAACUCCAUGUGUAGCGGUGGAAUGCGUAGAUAUAUGGAAGAACACCAGUGGCGAAGGCGGCUCUCUGGUCUGCAACUGACGCUGAGGCUCGAAAGCAUGGGUAGCGAACAGGAUUAGAUACCCUGGUAGUCCAUGCCGUAAACGAUGAGCGCUAGGUG